Long non-coding RNA from Plodia interpunctella (Indianmeal moth), 501 nucleotides. RefSeq lists it as uncharacterized. The record is from RefSeq and is a predicted model, not a curated record. NCBI's taxonomy places the organism in Eukaryota, Metazoa, Arthropoda, Insecta, Lepidoptera, Pyralidae. The transcript is spliced from 2 exons.
UUGAUUGUUACACUGUCGUUAGAGCUUAUGUAUGGAAGAAAGGAACAAGUGUCAUAUAAUGUACUUUCAAAAUUUGAGUCUUUGUUGUCAGUAUUUUGAAUGAAGAAAAUCGCCAGCUUUAAGAAAAUAAUAAGAAGAUGAGUUGGUGCCUGUCAAUAGUGUCGAUUAGUUUGCUCUUAGGACAUUAUUGUAAUGGAUAUAGUGUACACCGUGAUGGUUUAAUUAUUUCGUCAGUUGAUGACGUAGUUCCUAAGUUACAGCAAUCAAAUAAACCCAAAUCGAGUUUGAGAACCGGUACAGUUGAAAUGCCAGAUGAAAUCUCCAACUUAUAUUACAGUGAAGUUGAUAGAAAAGGGAGCCUUGUGUAUUCGAAAUGGCUGUACAAUUUGAAAGAUGUUGUUGUGAUGCUCAAAGAAAGAUUCGGUGUCGACAUUGUGACUUAAAUUGGCAAGUCUUUAGGGCCUGUGAUGAAAUGAUACUAUUAUAAACGCUUUAAAAUAA